AAGCAAAAAGCCCACUUGAUUGGUGGCGUUCAUAUGGUGGCCGAGCCUUUGAACUUCAAAGAUUUGCAAAACGUGUGGUUGGUCUUUGUGCUUCAUCUUCCGGAUGUGAGAGGAAUUGGAGCACCUUCGAAUUUAUGCAUACAAAGAAAAGGAACCGGUUGUUACACAAGAGGUUAAAUGACUUGGUCUUUGUUUCAUACAACCGAAAGAUGCAAAGUA
This is a long non-coding RNA of Panicum hallii, 219 nucleotides long. RefSeq lists it as uncharacterized. The transcript is spliced from 3 exons. The record is from RefSeq and is a predicted model, not a curated record. NCBI's taxonomy places the organism in Eukaryota, Viridiplantae, Streptophyta, Magnoliopsida, Poales, Poaceae.